AGUGAACGCUGGCGGUAGGCCUAACACAUGCGAGUCGAACGGCAGCACAGUAAGAGCUUGCUCUUACGGGUGGCGAGUGGCGGACGGGUGAGGAAUACAUCGGAAUCUACUUUUUCGUGGGGGAUAACGUAGGGAAACUUACGCUAAUACCGCAUACGACCUACGGGUGAAAGCAGGGGAUCUUCGGACCUUGCGCGAUUGAAUGAGCCGAUGUCGGAUUAGCUAGUUGGCGGGGUAAAGGCCCACCAAGGCGACGAUCCGUAGCUGGUCUGAGAGGAUGAUCAGCCAUACUGGAACUGAGACACGGUCCAGACUCCUACGGGAGGCAGCAGUGGGGAAUAUUGGACAAUGGGCGCAAGCCUGAUCCAGCCAUACCGCGUGGGUGAAGAAGGCCUUCGGGUUGUAAAGCCCUUUUGUUGGGAAAGAAAAGCAGCAGGUUAAUACCCCGCUGUUCUGACGGUACCCAAAGAAUAAGCACCGGCUAACUUCGUG
This 492-nucleotide ribosomal RNA is filed under the name uncultured bacterium. RNAcentral describes it as "partial 16S ribosomal RNA". It matches the Rfam family "Bacterial small subunit ribosomal RNA", at positions 29 to 507 of the family's 1533-position model. The record is from RNAcentral.